RNAcentral lists this non-coding RNA (28 nucleotides) under Rattus norvegicus (Norway rat). Lineage: Eukaryota; Metazoa; Chordata; Mammalia; Rodentia; Muridae. The record is from RNAcentral.
UGGAAAAAUGGUGAGGUUGAUGCUUUCU